GCAAGUCGAACGGUAACAUUUCUAGCUUGCUAGAAGAUGACGAGUGGCGGACGGGUGAGUAAUACUUAGGGAUCUGCCCUUUGGCGGGGGAUAACCAUUGGAAACGAUGGCUAAUACCGCAUACGACCUACGGGUGAAAGGGGGCUACUUGUAGCUCUCGCCAAAGGAGGAACCUAAGCGAGAUUAGCUAGUUGGUGAGGUAAAGGCUCACCAAGGCGACGAUCUCUAGCUGUUCUGAGAGGAAGAUC
This 248-nucleotide ribosomal RNA is filed under the name uncultured bacterium. RNAcentral describes it as "partial 16S ribosomal RNA". It matches the Rfam family "Bacterial small subunit ribosomal RNA", at positions 57 to 305 of the family's 1533-position model. The record is from RNAcentral.